RNAcentral lists this ribosomal RNA (406 nucleotides) under uncultured bacterium. RNAcentral's name for it is "partial 16S ribosomal RNA". It matches the Rfam family "Bacterial small subunit ribosomal RNA", at positions 30 to 526 of the family's 1533-position model. The record is from RNAcentral.
AUUGAACGCUGGCGGCAGGCCUAACACAUGCAAGUCGAACGAGUGGCGGACGGGUGAGUAAUGUCUGGUAAACUGCCUGAUGGAGGGGGAUAACUACUGGAAACGGUCGCUAAUACCGCAUACCAUCAGAUUUGCCCAGAUGGGAUUAGCUAGUUGGUGGGUUAACGGCUCACAAGGGCGACGAUCCCUAGCGGGUCUGAGAGGAUGACCGGCCACACUGGAACUGAGAAACGGUCCAGAUUCCUACGGGAGGCAGCAGUGGGGAAUAUUGCACAAUGGGGGAAAGCCGGAUGCAGCAAUGCCGCGUGGAUGAAGAAGGCCUUCGGGUGGUAAAGUACUUUCAGCGGGGAGGCGUUACCCGAAGAAGAAGCACCGGCUAACUCCGUGCCAGCAGCCGCGGUAAUAC